RNAcentral lists this ribosomal RNA (253 nucleotides) under uncultured bacterium. RNAcentral describes it as "partial 16S ribosomal RNA". It matches the Rfam family "Bacterial small subunit ribosomal RNA", at positions 524 to 776 of the family's 1533-position model. The record is from RNAcentral.
UACGUAGGGUCCGAGCGUUGUCCGGAGUUACUGGGCGUAAAGGGCGCGCAGGCGGCGGUGCUGGCCCGGCGUGAAAGCCCCCGGCUCAACCGGGGAGGGUCGUCGGGGACCGCACCGCUUGAGGGCGGUAGGGGCCGGUGGAAUGCCUGGUGUAGUGGUGAAAUGCGUAGAGAUCAGGCAGAACACCUGGGGCGAAGGCGGCCGGCUGGGCCGUCCCUGACGCUGAGGCGCGAAGGCGUGGGGAGCGAACAGG